RNAcentral lists this long non-coding RNA (585 nucleotides) under Vigna radiata. Its description in RNAcentral is "long non-coding RNA (VRAD_LNC007224)". Lineage: Eukaryota; Viridiplantae; Streptophyta; Magnoliopsida; Fabales; Fabaceae. The record is from RNAcentral.
GGGAAUAGGGAGACAUGGCGGCAGAAGGAAGGAAAGAAACACAAGAAGAGAGAAGGCUCAAGAGAAAAGGCUCAAUCACACAAUGAGAGAGGAAUUAAGGUUUUGAGAGAAUGUGUUGAGAAGAUGAGAAAAGAAGCACGUUAAAUAGAAGAAAAAAGUUAGUCAUGGGCGAUUAAUCAGUCUCGUCCAUUUAAUGUGGUUAGUACGGAAGCAUUCAGAAAAGAGAUUUUGCGUCUCUUGAAUACCUAGAUGAUUUUGAGAAGAGUGUUAGUAAGGAGUGGAUAAAAGUGGGAAGAGCGACAAAGUCAAUAGUUUAGGGUUUUAAGGAGGAGAGAGAGACGUUUAAGAGGAUAGAAAAGGUAAUGGCUUGAUUGACACGCGAAAGAUUUAGACAGAUAGGAGAGAGAGAGGGUUUGGUCUUUGGAAAUCCUAGAAAACUUCUAGAGAUGGGCUUAGUAUUUGACACACCUAAUGUAUGGAUGCAGUUGUCUGAUAGACGAUUUGUCUUAGACAAUGCAACACUAUGACAUCUUGUGGACUAUGUGUCCUAGACGAUUAACUCUCCAAACGACUAUAUGAACACAC